GAGGCAGCAGUGGGGAAUCUUGCGCAAUGGGCGAAAGCCUGACGCAGCCAUGCCGCGUGAAUGAUGAAGGUCUUAGGAUUGUAAAAUUCUUUCACCGGGGACGAUAAUGACGGUACCCGGAGAAGAAGCCCCGGCUAACUUCGUGCCAGCAGCCGCGGUAAUACGAAGGGGGCUAGCGUUGCUCGGAAUUACUGGGCGUAAAGGGAGCGUAGGCGGACUGUUAAGUUAGAGGUGAAAGCCCAGGGCUCAACCUUGGAAUUGCCUUUGAUACUGGCAGUCUUGAGUACGGAAGAGGUAUGUGGAACUCCGAGUGUAGAGGUGAAAUUCGUAGAUAUUCGGAAGAACACCAGUGGCGAAGGCGACAUACUGGUCCGUUACUGACGCUGAGGCUCGAAAGCGUGGGGAGCAAACAGGAUUAGAUACCCUGGUAGUCCACGCCGUAAACGAUGAGUGCUAGUUGUCGGCAUGCAUGCAUGUCGGUGACGCAGCUAACGCAUUAAGCACUCCGCCUGGGGA
Molecule: ribosomal RNA, 516 nt
Filed under: uncultured bacterium
Lineage: Bacteria
Description: bacterial SSU rRNA
Rfam family: Bacterial small subunit ribosomal RNA
Source: RNAcentral